RNAcentral lists this ribosomal RNA (469 nucleotides) under uncultured bacterium. RNAcentral's name for it is "partial 16S ribosomal RNA". It matches the Rfam family "Bacterial small subunit ribosomal RNA", at positions 27 to 507 of the family's 1533-position model. The record is from RNAcentral.
GGACGAACGCUGGCGGCGUGCUUAACACAUGCAAGUCGAACGGAAAGGCCCUGCUUUUGUGGGGUGCUCGAGUGGCGAACGGGUGAGUAACACGUGAGUAACCUGCCCUUGACUUUGGGAUAACUUCAGGAAACUGGGGCUAAUACCGGAUAGGAGCUCCUGCUGCAUGGUGGGGGUUGGAAAGUUUCGGCGGUUGGGGAUGGACUCGCGGCUUAUCAGCUUGUUGGUGGGGUAGUGGCUUACCAAGGCUUUGACGGGUAGCCGGCCUGAGAGGGUGACCGGCCACGUUGGGACUGAGAUACGGCCCAGACUCCUACGGGAGGCAGCAGUGGGGAAUAUUGCACAAUGGGCGGAAGCCUGAUGCAGCAACGCCGCGUGCGGGAUGACGGCCUUCGGGUUGUAAACCGCUUUCGCCUGUGACGAAGCGUGAGUGACGGUAAUGGGUAAAGAAGCACCGGCUAACUACGUG